Molecule: ribosomal RNA, 318 nt
Filed under: uncultured eukaryote
Lineage: Eukaryota
Description: partial 18S ribosomal RNA
Rfam family: Eukaryotic small subunit ribosomal RNA
Source: RNAcentral
CCCUUAGAUGUUCUGGGCAGCACGCGCGCCACAAUGGUCUUCGCAAACGGAUGCAUUCUCGAAGGAGAAUGCCAAUCUUGGAAUCUAUGCCUUGGUCGGGACAGUUGCUUGCAAUUUUUCGACUCGAACCAGGAAUUCCUUGUAAUCGUGAUUCAUCACAUCACGAUGAAUACGUCCCUGCCCUUUGUACACACCGCCCGUCGCUCCUACCGAUCGAAGAGUUAGGUGAAUUGUUUUGAUCGAUAAGAUUUGACUAUGGUCAACUCUCGUUGUGAAAUUCUGUGAAUCUGACUGUUUAGAGGAAGGAAAAGUCGUAAC